GAGUCUGCAGAGCUGCUGGCUGGAAGCUGCCUUGCCGGCUACAUAAAAAGCACCAGCGAAGUCAGAGCAAACGAAAAUGUCAUUCAGACAAUGACUUGUUUAUGCUGCUCUAUAUACUGUACCCUGACGUUCAGAGAAGUUUUCCUGCGUCACUCGGCAAAUAACGGGAGGCAUUUCGUAGAGCUGGCAAAGCACCAUCCGCUCUCCCGAUAGCCUUUUUGCACACGCUCCCCAUCAAAAGGCCCAGCCACUCCUUGGCAGCCUGGCUUCACCUCGACAAGAUCUGCCCUGGCUCGUGCAUUUGUCGACGCCCUGUGACAAUCGCUGGCCCUGAGCACUGUGGAACAUGUGACACCGCUGGCUACACGGCAGGCCCCCCCAGAGGGAAGUCAGGGUCUUGCGGUAUCAAAGGAGACGGCAGCGGUGCCUGUAGUGACCGCAAGGCCCAAGGAGGCUCCUGCAGGGCCCUGGGCCAUCUGGGAAGUAGUUCCGAGGAGGAGGAAGCUGCAGGGAAGAGAGACGCCUGGGACGGACCCUGACUAACCAGGGGAAGGCCUGAGAAGAGAGGCAGGAAGUGGCCCAGGGAAGCCUCAGCACAGGUGCAGCUUCUCCAUCAGCAGCCACGGGCAACUUCUGAGCCAAGUUCCAACUGGACCAAGCGCAGAGCAUGGACUACUCAAUAGGUGUUUGCGUAACACUGACAAGCAGAACCGAACCUGCGGCCUCUGGAACUUCAUGCAUGAGCCUCGACAGCGCUAGUCUCUGGGUGGCUGGGAGCAGUGGCGGCUCAUACGGAUUGAUCGAACGAGCCCCCGUGCUGGACCAGUGUCCAUUCCCUGGCUGGUGGAGUGGGGACCCUACGGGGAAG
Non-coding RNA from Pelodiscus sinensis (Chinese soft-shelled turtle), 868 nucleotides. NCBI's taxonomy places the organism in Eukaryota, Metazoa, Chordata, Testudines, Trionychidae. The record is from RefSeq and is a predicted model, not a curated record.